AGUUGAAGGGAUAUUCUUGGACACGUCAAAAAUGGGGGAAAUGGACGUGAGUUCCAGAGCCUUUGUGAGGAUGUAUAAUCUUAGACUGCUCAAAAUCUUCAAUUCUAAAGUUGGGAAUAACUGCAAAGUGCACCUUCCUCAUGGCCUUGAGUCUCUUUCUGAAGAAUUGAGGUAUCUCCAUUGGGAUGCAUACCCUUUGAGCUCUCUGCCAUCCAAUUUUCAUGCAGAGAACCUUGUUGAACUUAAUCUGGCUUACAGCAACGUUAAUCAACUAUGGAGAGGAGUGCAAGUAUGCUGCAUUAUUUGUCUUGAUUCCCCUUCUUUUCUUCUUCUUUCCUUUUGAAGAUGCUUUGUAGUUGUAGGUCCGGCGUGUGGUAAUUUAUUGUAGCUAAUAAUUUUGUUUUUGCAGAAUCUUGUGAGUUUGAAACAGAUAAAUCUCAGCAAUUCUAAGCACUUGACUGCAUUCCCAGACCUUUCACAGGCCAAGAAUCUUGAGAGAUUGAAUUUUGAAUAUUGUACUAGCUUGGUAGAAGUUCCCUCAUCCAUUCGAUUUCUCGACAAGCUUGUUGAUAUGAAUAUGAGAUGCUGCACAAGUCUUACGAGCCUCCCGAGUGGCAUUAAAUUGAGAUCACUCAAGACACUUAACUUUUCUGGUUGCUUAAAUCUUAGGAAGUGUCCGGAGGUUGCAGGGAACAUAAAGUAUUUAAAUUUAAAUGAGACAGCAAUAGAAGAACUUCCCAAAUCAAUUGGACAUCUAAGUGGACUCAUUGCCUUGAAUUUGAGGGAUUGUAAGCGACUCUGUAAUCGUCCUGACAGCAUUCGUUUGUUGAAAUCACUUAUGACUGUCGAUCUCUCUGGCUGCUCAAAUAUCACUCUUUUUCCAGAUAUUUCCGAGGACAUAAGAUACUUAUACUUGAGAGAAACUGCAAUAGAAGAAGCCCCCUCUUCAAUUGGCUGUCUCUCUAGACUCUCUUGUUUAGAUCUAAAGAACUGCACAAGGCUUAAGAAUCUUCCUUCUACCAUUUUUAAGUUGGCAUCUCUUGAAAAGCUUAUUCUCUCUGGCUGCUCAAACAUAACCAAGUUUCCACAGGUUUCAUGGAAAAUAAAGAAGCUGUUUUUAGAUGAGACUGCCAUAGAAGAAAUUCCCUCAUCAAUUGAGUAUUGCUCUGAACUUGUUGAAUUGAACCUGCAAAACUGCAAAAGAUUUCAUAUUCUUCCAAGUGGCAUUUGUAAGUUGAAAUCUCUGCAAAAGCUUAAUCUCUCAGGCUGUUCGAUGUUUGAACAUUUUCCAGAUAUUUUGGAGGUUAUGGGAUCCUUGAGAUAUCUUUAUUUAGAUGGAACAGCAAUAAGAAAGUUACCUUCACCAAUUAAAAAUUUGAGUGGUCUUUCUAUCUUAGAAGUGAGAAAAUGCAAAAAUCUUAAUUUUGGUGGUCUUUCUAUCUUAGAACUGAGAAACUGCAAAAAUCUUUCAAGAUUGCCAGAGACCAUCUUAGGCACAGAAUUUUGUGGGGAACAUCUGAGGUACUUGCGGAAGCUGUAUCUAAAUGACUGCAACAUGCUGAAUGUUCCUCUUUCUAUUGGCUUCAUAUCCUCACUAGAAGCAUUAGACCUGAGUGGCAACACUUUUUCAGAGAUACCUGCAAGCAUCAUUCAGCUCUCAAAUCUGCAGUACCUCGGCUUAAGAGAUUGCCUGCAGCUAAGAUUAAUACCAGCACUUCCACCAUGUCUGACAAAAUUAGAUGCAGACAAUUGCAUUUCUCUGCGCUCAGUAACAAUUGAAUCAACUAGAGUGGGGGGAAACAUUUUUGAAUUCUUUUUCACUAAUUGUGACAUGUUGGAUAACUUGGAAAAGCAGUGUAUCAUGGCAUAUGCACUGACAAAAAUUCACUGUUAUUCAGAAUUGCUGUACAACCAGGUACCUUCUGUAGUGGCAGGGGAAUCUAGUCUUUGCUUUCCCGGAUUUGGAAUUCCAGAGUGGUUUUGCCAUCAAAAUGUAGGGUUUUCCACAACACUCCAGCUGCCUUCAAAUUGGGCUAACACUGGGUUCCUGGGUUUCACUCUCUGUGCUGUAAUUACAUUCAACAACCCCCACAUUCACAACUCUGGUUUACAAGUGAAAUGUAGAUACCAUUUAAAAAAUAGGUAUGGCGACUGCAACGAUCUACAUUCCUAUUUCGGCGGUUUGUACGGUACAAGAUAUUUCGGCAACUGUGAUACGUUCUUUGGGUAUGACCCCUGUCUGGAUGUUAAAAAAGAUGAUAAGUUUGGUAAAUACAAUGAGGUUCUAAUUGAAUUCUAUCCUGAAGAUAUGAAU
Molecule: unclassified non-coding RNA, 2314 nt
Filed under: Hevea brasiliensis (rubber tree)
Lineage: Eukaryota; Viridiplantae; Streptophyta; Magnoliopsida; Malpighiales; Euphorbiaceae
Source: RNAcentral